RNAcentral lists this ribosomal RNA (500 nucleotides) under uncultured bacterium. Its description in RNAcentral is "partial 16S ribosomal RNA". It matches the Rfam family "Bacterial small subunit ribosomal RNA", at positions 30 to 523 of the family's 1533-position model. The record is from RNAcentral.
AUUGACCGCUGGCGUCAUGCCUUACACAUGCAAGUCGAACGGCAGCACGGGUGCUUGCACCUGGUGGCGAGUGGCGAACGGGUGAGUAAUACAUCGGAACGUACCUUAUCGUGGGGAUAACGCAGCGAAAGCUGUGCUAAUACCGCAUACGCCCUGAGGGGGAAAGCGGGGGAUCGAAAGACCUCGCGCGAUUAGAGCGGCCGAUGCCUGAUUAGCUUGUUGGUGGGGUAAAAGCCCACCAAGGCGACGAUCAGUAGCUGGUCUGAGAGGACGAUCAGCCACACUGGGACUGAGGCACGGCCCAGACUCCUACGGGAGGCAGCAGUGGGGAAUUUUGGACAAUGGGGGCAACCCUGAUCCAGCAAUGCCGCGUGAGUGAAGAAGGCCUUCGGGUUGUAAAGCUCUUUUGUCAGGGAAGAAACACCGGCUCUAACACAGUCCGGGAAUGACGGUACCUGAAGAAUAAGCACCGGCUAACUACGUGCCAGCCGCCGCGGUAA